This 497-nucleotide ribosomal RNA is filed under the name uncultured bacterium. RNAcentral describes it as "partial 16S ribosomal RNA". It matches the Rfam family "Bacterial small subunit ribosomal RNA", at positions 28 to 507 of the family's 1533-position model. The record is from RNAcentral.
GACGAACGCUGGCGGCGUGCCUAAUACAUGCAAGUUGAGCGCUGAAGGUUGGUACUUGUACCAACUGGAUGAGCAGCGAACGGGUGAGUAACGCGUGGGGAAUCUGCCUUUGAGCGGGGGACAACAUUUGGAAACGAAUGCUAAUACCGCAUAAAAACUUUAAACACAAGUUUUAAGUUUGAAAGAUGCAAUUGCAUCACUCAAAGAUGAUCCCGCGUUGUAUUAGCUAGUUGGUGAGGUAAAGGCGCACCAAGGCGAUGAUACAUAGCCGACCUGAGAGGGUGAUCAGCCACAUUGGGACUGAGACACGGCCCAAACUCCUACGGGAAGCAGCAGUAGGGAAUCUUCGGCAAUGGACGAAAGUCUGACCGAGCAACGCCGCGUGAGUGAAGAAGGUUUUCGGAUCGUAAAACUCUGUUGGUAGGGAAGAACGUUGGUGAGAGUGGAAAGCUCAUCAAGUGACGGUAACUACCCAGAAAGGGACGGCUAACUACGUG